This 69-nucleotide transfer RNA is filed under the name Rattus norvegicus (Norway rat). It matches the Rfam family "tRNA". From Rfam's summary of the family: Transfer RNA (tRNA) molecules are approximately 80 nucleotides in length. Their secondary structure includes four short double-helical elements and three loops (D, anti-codon, and T loops). Lineage: Eukaryota; Metazoa; Chordata; Mammalia; Rodentia; Muridae. The record is from Rfam by way of RNAcentral.
GGGGAUUUAGCUCAGUGGUAGAGCGCUUGUCUAGCAAGCACAAGGCCCUGGGUUCGGUUCCCAGCUCUG